AACGAACGCUGGCGGCAUGCCUAACACAUGCAAGUCGAACGAUGCUUUCGGGCAUAGUGGCGCACGGGUGCGUAACGCGUGGGAAUCUGCCCUUGGGUUCGGAAUAACAGUGAGAAAUUGCUGCUAAUACCGGAUGAUGUCUUCGGACCAAAGAUUUAUCGCCCAGGGAUGAGCCCGCGUAGGAUUAGCUAGUUGGUAGGGUAAUGGCCUACCAAGGCGACGAUCCUUAGCUGGUCUGAGAGGAUGAUCAGCCACACUGGGACUGAGACACGGCCCAGACUCCUACGGGAGGCAGCAGUGGGGAAUAUUGGACAAUGGGCGCAAGCCUGAUCCAGCAAUGCCGCGUGAGUGAUGAAGGCCUUAGGGUUGUAAAGCUCUUUUACCCGGGAUGAUAAUGACAGUACCGGGAGAAUAAGCUCCGGCUAACUCCGUG
This 433-nucleotide ribosomal RNA is filed under the name uncultured bacterium. Its description in RNAcentral is "partial 16S ribosomal RNA". It matches the Rfam family "Bacterial small subunit ribosomal RNA", at positions 29 to 507 of the family's 1533-position model. The record is from RNAcentral.